Long non-coding RNA from Penaeus monodon (black tiger shrimp), 711 nucleotides. RefSeq lists it as uncharacterized. The record is from RefSeq and is a predicted model, not a curated record. Lineage: Eukaryota; Metazoa; Arthropoda; Malacostraca; Decapoda; Penaeidae. The transcript is spliced from 2 exons.
CCUCGGCGGUCGCGGCUACACACCCGCCUGCCAGCUGACCCACAUAAGAGCGUUACAGCAAUUUUUCUAGGUGACUGUUUAAAUCGCCAUUGCCAAGAUGAUGACCUUCCGUGUUGUGUUGAUGGCCAUCGUGGUGGUUGUCACUCUCACCAGCGCGACUCACGCCCUGCCUAUGAUGUUCAGCCCGACAGUGUCUCGGCCAAGCCCAUGCUCCAUCGUCUCCAACUUGCUGGAUGCUGAUGUGGCCAGUCUCCUCGAGGGGGACAUCUAUCUCGCAGAGUCAUUCUGUGUUUGAGCUGGAGUUGAAACAGAACUCAUGAAGGUUAAUGAUUCAACUCUUUUUAUCAUGCAGGGAGAGUUGCUUAGUUCGAAACAGAUAGGCUAUGUUGCCUGACUCACUCGAACAGUUACUAACUGGGAGAAAAAUCUGAUGGAUUGUCUCCAGCGUAACUUUAUUCAGCAGUGGGUGGCGGAAUGAAGAUGCCGAAGCCGUGAGAAGUCGCUGCGUAUGAGUCUCAUGACUGGCAUCUGCAAGAAUUACAUGAACGCUGUAGAGCUGCCAAAAGUGUUGCCGCAGUUUGUCAGCUGACAGUGUUUGUAAGAUCAUCAAUGCAUUAAUUGUUGCAUACAUUGGAUAUACAUAAUUAUAAUCGUAUAUCCUGACUGAUUAUAAAGAAUAUAAAAAGUGCUAGAUAAAUGUAAUUCAAAUGA